UACAGAGGUGGCAAGCGUUGCUCGGAUUUACUGGGCUUAAAGGGCACGUAGGCGGAUGGGCACGCGAGUGGUGAAAUGUCUCGGCUUAACCGAGGAACGGCUGCUCGAACGACCCAUCUUGAGGAGGACAGGGGCGACUGGAACUCUGGGUGGAGCGGUGAAAUGCGUAGAUAUCCAGGGGAACGCCGAAGGUGAAGACAGGUCGCUGGGUCCUUCCUGACGCUCAGGUGCGAAAGCUAGGGGAGCGAACGGG
Molecule: ribosomal RNA, 253 nt
Filed under: uncultured bacterium
Lineage: Bacteria
Description: partial 16S ribosomal RNA
Rfam family: Bacterial small subunit ribosomal RNA
Source: RNAcentral